GACGAACGCUGGCGGCGUGCUUAACACAUGCAAGUCGAACGGAAAGGCCCUGCUCUUGUGGGGUGCUCGAGUGGCGAACGGGGGAGUAACACGCGAGUAACCCGCCCUUGUCUGUGGGAUAUCUUCAGGAGACUGGGGCGAAUACAGGAUAGGAGCUCCUGCAGCGUGGGGGGGGUUGGAAAGUGUCGGCGGUUGGGGAUGGUCUCGAGGGUUAUGAGCUUGUUGGUGGAGUAGUGGCUUACCAAGGUUUUGAAGGGUAGCCGGCCUGGGAGGGGGACCGGCCACAUUGGGACUGCGGUAGGCCCCAGUAGCCAACGGGAGGCAGCAGUGGGGAAUAUGACGGAAUGGGGGGAAGCCUGUGGCAGCAGUCCCGCGUGCGGAAUAACGUGUUACGGGUUGUAAACCACUGUGUACGGUGACGAGGCGGGAGUGACGGUACUGGGUAAAGAAGCCCCGGCUAACUACGUG
This 468-nucleotide ribosomal RNA is filed under the name uncultured bacterium. Its description in RNAcentral is "partial 16S ribosomal RNA". It matches the Rfam family "Bacterial small subunit ribosomal RNA", at positions 28 to 507 of the family's 1533-position model. The record is from RNAcentral.